RNAcentral lists this unclassified non-coding RNA (253 nucleotides) under Hevea brasiliensis (rubber tree). The record is from RNAcentral. Lineage: Eukaryota; Viridiplantae; Streptophyta; Magnoliopsida; Malpighiales; Euphorbiaceae.
UGAGGAGGAGAAGGCUCGCAAUAAUCAGAUCCAAGCUUCUAUUGCCCAGACUUUUCGCCGGCAAGCCGAAGCUCUUGGUCGGAAACGGACAACAGCUAAAGCCACAGUUGCUGCAUUUUCUAGGAGAAAACAAGGCCGUCACCAAGAUGCCCACUCAAGAGGGAGGAGAAAUUGUCGAGCAGCUGAUAUUCAAGGAUCUGAUGACAAUGAGGAUGCAAAUGGCGAUGGGUGCAAAGAUUCAUCAUCUGCUGAG